GACGAACGCUGGCGGCGCGCCUAACACAUGCAAGUCGAACGGAGCUGAGAGAAGCUUGCUUUUCUUAGCUUAGUGGCGAACGGGUGAGUAACGCGUGAGUAACCUGCCCUGGAGUGGGGGACAACAGAUGGAAACGACUGCUAAUACCGCAUAAGCCCACGAUCCGGCAUCGGAUUGAGGGAAAAGGAUUUAUUCGCUUCAGGAUGGACUCGCGUCCAAUUAGCUAGUUGGUGAGGUAACGGCCCACCAAGGCGACGAUUGGUAGCCGGACUGAGAGGUUGAACGGCCACAUUGGGACUGAGACACGGCCCAGACUCCUACGGGAGGCAGCAGUGGGGGAUAUUGCACAAUGGGGGAAACCCUGAUGCAGCGACGCCGCGUGGAGGAAGAAGGUUUUCGGAUUGUAAACUCCUGUCGUGAGGGACGAUAAUGACGGUACCUAACAAGAAAGCACCGGCUAACUACGUG
RNAcentral lists this ribosomal RNA (468 nucleotides) under uncultured bacterium. RNAcentral's name for it is "partial 16S ribosomal RNA". It matches the Rfam family "Bacterial small subunit ribosomal RNA", at positions 28 to 507 of the family's 1533-position model. The record is from RNAcentral.